GAUGAACGCUGGCGGCGUGCUUAACACAUGCAAGUCGAACGGAAAGGCUCCUGCUUGCAGGGGCACUCGAGUGGCGAACGGGUGAGUAACACGUGGGUGAUCUGCCCUGCACUUCGGGAUAAGCCUGGGAAACUGGGUCUAAUACCGGAUAGGACCAUCGUUUAGUGUCGGUGGUGGAAAGUUUUUUCGGUGUGGGAUGAGCUCGCGGACUAUCAGCUUGUUGGUGGGGUAAUGGCCUACCAAGGCGUCGACGGGUAGCCGGCCUGAGAGGGUGUACGGCCACAUUGGGACUGAGAUACGGCCCAGACUCCUACGGGAGGCAGCAGUGGGGAAUAUUGCACAAUGGGCGCAAGCCUGAUGCAGCGACGCCGCGUGGGGGAUGACGGCCUUCGGGUUGUAAACUCCUUUCGCCAGGGACGAAGCGAAAGUGACGGUACCUGGAUAAGAAGCACCGGCUAACUACGUG
This 466-nucleotide ribosomal RNA is filed under the name uncultured bacterium. Its description in RNAcentral is "partial 16S ribosomal RNA". It matches the Rfam family "Bacterial small subunit ribosomal RNA", at positions 28 to 507 of the family's 1533-position model. The record is from RNAcentral.